GAUUAACGCUGGCGGCGUGCAUAACACAUGCAAGUCGAACGAUGAAACUUAAAUGAUUUCUUCGGAAUGAACUUAAGUGGAUUAGUGGCGGACGGGUGAGUAACGCGUGAGUAACCUGCCUUACACAAGGGGAUAGCCGUUGGAAACGACGAAUAAUACCCUAUGAUGUUUCUAUCUCGCAUGAGAUAUUAACCAAAGUGUUAGCGGUGUAAGAUGGACUUGCGUCUGAUUAGCUAGUUGGUGAGAAAAAAGCCCACCAAGGCAACGAUCAGUAGCCGGCUUGAGAGAGUGUACGGCCACAUUGGGACUGAGACACGGCCCAGACUCCUACGGGAGGCAGCAGUGGGGAAUUUUGCACAAUGGGGGAAACCCUGAUGCAGCGACGCCGCGUGAUUUAGAAGGCCUUCGGGUUGUAAAAAUCUUUUGUAUAGGAAGAAAAUGACAGUACUAUACGAAUAAGGUCCGGCUAAUUACGU
RNAcentral lists this ribosomal RNA (476 nucleotides) under uncultured bacterium. RNAcentral's name for it is "partial 16S ribosomal RNA". It matches the Rfam family "Bacterial small subunit ribosomal RNA", at positions 28 to 506 of the family's 1533-position model. The record is from RNAcentral.